AAGACUGUGCUGCUUGCCAGCUACGGAGCUACCUCCUGGAGUGUGUUUAGGACAUCGCUCAGCCCUCCUUAGUCCUGGAAAACAAUAAUUUACUCCUCACAGAGGGUGCAUCAAGAUUCCUGUAUAUCCUUCUCAGUGAAGAUCUCCAGGUGUUGAAACUCUGAUUGCAUUAAUCUGACAGCAGAAUAUGGAAAAAUAAACAUGCCCCCUGCUGCCCAUUCAACAGGAUUCUGGUUAUC
Long non-coding RNA from Gymnogyps californianus (California condor), 239 nucleotides. RefSeq lists it as uncharacterized. The transcript is spliced from 3 exons. The record is from RefSeq and is a predicted model, not a curated record. NCBI's taxonomy places the organism in Eukaryota, Metazoa, Chordata, Aves, Accipitriformes, Cathartidae.